CAGCGUCACGAGUGGCAAUCAGAUUUAUUGGGUCUAAAGCGUCCGUAGCCGGUUUGAUAAGUCUUUUGUGAAAUUGUCGUGCUUAACAUGACAACGUGCAAGAGAUACUGUCAGACUUGGAACUGGGAGGGGUUAGAGGUAUUCCUUGGGGAGCGGUAAAAUGCUAUAAUCCUCGGAGGACCACCUGUGGCGAAAGCGUCUAACCAGAACAGCUUCGACGGUGAGGGACGAAAGCUAGGGGAGCAAACCGGAUUAGAUACCCGAGUAGUCC
This 271-nucleotide ribosomal RNA is filed under the name uncultured archaeon. RNAcentral's name for it is "partial 16S ribosomal RNA". It matches the Rfam family "Archaeal small subunit ribosomal RNA", at positions 477 to 747 of the family's 1478-position model. The record is from RNAcentral.